GAUGAACGCUGGCGGCAUGCCUAAGACAUGCAAGUCGAACGAAGCGGCCCAAUGAAGAAUGCGAGCUUGCUCAAAUUUAGAUUUGGAUAACCACUUAGUGGCGCAAGGGUGAGUAACGCGUAGGUAAUCUACCUUCGAGUCUGGAAUAACAGUUAGAAAUGAUUGCUAAUGCCGGAUGAAAUGGGAAACGAUACGUCAUUUUUUAUUAAAAGGUGCCUUUAAAGCAUCGCUUGAAGAUGAGCCUGCGUCGUAUUAGUUAGUUGGUGGGGUAAUGGCCUACCAAGACAACGAUGCGUAGCCGACCUGAGAGGGUGAUCGGCCACACUGGGACUGAGACACGGCCCAGACUCCUACGGGGAGGCAGCAGUAGGGAAUCUUCGGCAAUGGGGGCAACCCUGACCGAGCAACGCCACGUGAGUGAAGAAGGUUUUCGGAUCGUAAAGCUCUGUUGUAAGAGAAGAACGUGUGUGAGAGUGGAAAGUUCACACAGUGACGGUAG
Molecule: ribosomal RNA, 499 nt
Filed under: uncultured bacterium
Lineage: Bacteria
Description: bacterial SSU rRNA
Rfam family: Bacterial small subunit ribosomal RNA
Source: RNAcentral